This 274-nucleotide ribosomal RNA is filed under the name uncultured bacterium. Its description in RNAcentral is "partial 16S ribosomal RNA". It matches the Rfam family "Bacterial small subunit ribosomal RNA", at positions 523 to 796 of the family's 1533-position model. The record is from RNAcentral.
AUACGAAGGGUGCAAGCGUUAAUCGGAAUUACUGGGCGUAAAGCGCGCGUAGGUGGUUUGUUAAGUUGGAUGUGAAAGCCCCGGGCUCAACCUGGGAACUGCAUCCAAAACUGGCAAGCUAGAGUAUGGCAGAGGGUGGUGGAAUUUCCUGUGUAGCGGUGAAAUGCGUAGAUAUAGGAAGGAACACCAGUGGCGAAGGCGACCACCUGGGCUAAUACUGACACUGAGGUGCGAAAGCGUGGGGAGCGAACGGGAUUAGAAACCCCAGUAGUCC